Pipistrellus kuhlii (Kuhl's pipistrelle) is the source of this 102-nucleotide small nuclear RNA. NCBI's taxonomy places the organism in Eukaryota, Metazoa, Chordata, Mammalia, Chiroptera, Vespertilionidae. The record is from RefSeq and is a predicted model, not a curated record.
AUGCUCGCUUUGGCAGCACCUACAUUAAAAUUGGAACAGUACAGAGAUCAGCAUGGCCCCUGCGCAAAUGACACACAAAUUCAAGAAGCAUUCCAUUUAAAA